This 460-nucleotide ribosomal RNA is filed under the name uncultured bacterium. RNAcentral describes it as "partial 16S ribosomal RNA". It matches the Rfam family "Bacterial small subunit ribosomal RNA", at positions 338 to 795 of the family's 1533-position model. The record is from RNAcentral.
CCUACGGGCGGCAGCAGUGAGGAAUAUUGGUCAAUGGACGCAAGUCUGAACCAGCCAUGCCGCGUGCAGGAAGACGGCUCUAUGAGUUGUAAACUGCUUUUGUACGAGGGUAAACGCAGAUACGCGUAUCUGUCUGAAAGUAUCGUACGAAUAAGGAUCGGCUAACUCCGUGCCAGCAGCCGCGGUAAUACGGAGGAUUCAAGCGUUAUCCGGGUUUAUUGGGUUUAAAGGGUGCGUAGGCGGUCGGAUAAGUUAGAGGUGAAAUCCCGAGGCUCAACUUCGGAAUUGCCUCUGAUACUGUUCGGCUAGAGAGUAGUUGCGGUAGGCGGAAUGUAUGGUGUAGCGGUGAAAUGCUUAGAGAUCAUACAGAACACCGAUUGCGAAGGCAGCUUACCAAGCUACUUCUGACGUUGAGGCACGAAAGCGUGGGGAGCAUACAGGAUUAGAUACCCCUGUAGUC